Non-coding RNA from Paramuricea clavata, 759 nucleotides. The record is from the annotation of a GenBank genome assembly. NCBI's taxonomy places the organism in Eukaryota, Metazoa, Cnidaria, Anthozoa, Malacalcyonacea, Plexauridae.
AUCGUUCUAAUUUUUCAUUGGUUAUCUGUCAAAACAAGUCUCUUACAUUUCAUUCCUCAUGUAUAAUCUACAUGACAAAGAACUCUUUAAUGUUUGACGCAUCGCGGAAAUUGCACAAAUAUAUAACACUUUAACGGGCUUUGUCUGACUUUAUCGGUUCUGUUCUUUUUGUGUUCAGUGAUAAUUCCGCGUAAAGACUGCUUUAUACUAUCAAAGACAAAGUUUAUGUGAUCACAGUAGGAAUUUUGCAUAGGUAAAUUCUGAGUUUUAAAGGAUUGUGAUGAGAAAUGACUGAGUCAGUUCUCUCAAACAUUUCUUACAAAUCCUUCAAAAGUUUGAUAGUGCAAAUGGGGUAAAUUAAAAUGGUUAUCGUUCCAUGUUUCGCUCACCAAUAUAGGUUAGGGUUAGAGGUUAGGUAUUAGGGUCAGAGGUUAGUGUUAAGGGUUGGGGUGUGUAUAUAUGUAUAUGGAGGUAUUCAGUUAACUUUUCAGUACACUAUAAUAUCCAUUACAUAACGUUUACUAUAUUGGUGCGCGAAACAUGGAACGAUUACCAAAUUAAUGUUCGUGGUUAAAUGUCGUGGUUAAUUUGAAGCACAGUCUUGGUCAGGAGUCCUGGUUAAUUUGAUUACCAUCAGUUACUAUUUUACCAGGCUAUAUGGUUGAAUUAAUCAGAUUAUGUUAGGUGGACUGUUAACCAAGAAUUUCUGGUUAAAUAGGCCAGGACUGUGGUUAAAUUAACCUGGGAUGUUAAAUGAAC